RNAcentral lists this long non-coding RNA (730 nucleotides) under Numida meleagris (helmeted guineafowl). Its description in RNAcentral is "lncRNA (ENSNMEG00000010793.1)". Lineage: Eukaryota; Metazoa; Chordata; Aves; Galliformes; Numididae. The record is from RNAcentral.
CAGAAAAGUAAUUAGUUGUAUUUACACUGUUUUAAAACAUGAUACUAAUUUGUUAUUGGUUGACGUGAUUCAUAAAUUCCCUCGAUUCCUCAUCAGACUUCUCUCUGGGAACAAUGUCUGCCAUGGCUAUGGGGGACAGAGCCAGAUCCGAGCAUGCUGGGCUCUGAUGGCAUCACAGGCAGCUUGGAGUAGCAAAUAUACAAACCAUGUGAAUUAUUAGAGCUAGGCUAUAGACUGACUUGUGCCAUCUGUAGCUCUCCUUAUCAGUGCAAAAUUUCCUCUAGAUUUUAUAUUAAUGAACUUUGAUUCUGAACCAUUUGUUGACAGAAAGCAUUGGGUAGCCAGGCAAUAAAAUGCACACGCAUAGUUUGCACAAGCAAAGCCCUCCUCCCUUCCAUGUCUGUUACCACAAUAUCAUUAUGAUCAGAAUUGUAGCCAUUACUGUAUGUCAACCAUAUGACACUGCUGCUUGGUAAUCCAUUGCUCUGCUGUAGGCUACUGUGCUUCACUGCUUCCUGGGAUUGCCUGUGGAAUGGAACUUCCUUCUUCUGAGCAUGUCUGCAUGUGCUUAAUAUAUUGCUGUCAUUUACAUUGUAAUAAUAUCAAGAAAAGCUCCCAAGUAGAGGAUGUAAUUACAAUGGAGACAGUUAGAUGUUUAAGUGAAAGGUUUGUUUCCUUUGGAGAUUUUGGAGAUUCAAGCUUUGUGAAGGACCAGUGUGGUAGCAGGUAG